Long non-coding RNA from Triticum aestivum (bread wheat), 875 nucleotides. RefSeq lists it as uncharacterized. The transcript is spliced from 2 exons. Lineage: Eukaryota; Viridiplantae; Streptophyta; Magnoliopsida; Poales; Poaceae. The record is from RefSeq and is a predicted model, not a curated record.
CAUUUGCCCCUCAAAGUGGUGCUGAGCCAUCACUACGCUGUAUUAGACAUGCCAAACGGUUUGACAUGAUUCUAAACAGCCAGAUGUAAAACGGUUUUCGCUCGCUCGCUCCGAGAAAAGCGGAUCAAGGCGAUUCCAUCUGCCCCCAACCACACCGGCCUCCAAGCCGUUUGCCGCCGGUCCCUGCCUCCUCCGUUCGCCGCUCCGGCGGCCGGAGGGGGUGGGGACCCUGGUGCUUCGACUUAGGUUUGUAGUUAGGGUUGGCCUAGUGCUUCCUUGAGGCGUUGUUUCCAUAGAGGAGAUGGCGCCGCGUCGGAAUAAUUUGCCUCUACUCUUCCUCCAUCUCGUUGUCGCUGCAACUGGUGGCGUCGAGGGGCAGAUGGCUUGGUCGUCUCGCCGAUCUCGGGAUCCGGCGAGUUGGGUGCGUGGAUGACGGCAGGCGGCGACGUUCCUCUUCUUCGACUACAUCGGAUGAAGUUGACGGCGUCGAGAUCUGGUGACCACGGGGAAGAUCCCCGGCCUACGUGCCACAAAGACUCGGUCUCGUCGCUUGCGGCGACCCGCUUCAUCAGCUCAAAAAGCAUCUUUGUAUGUGGUGGUGCUCUCCCAGAUCUGGGUAUGGCGGCUGUUCUCAUCUUCUUCCGGCGUUGCCAUGGUGGUGGCGGAGGACGUUUGUGGACUAUGUUUCGGCAAGGCACGAGUUUCUUCAAGGGUGGAAUAAUAGUUUUACCUCUUGUAGAAUUCUUUGUGCAGAGUUGCUUGACAAGUAUUUGUGUCUCGUAUGGUGCCAUAUGUGUAAUCUAUGUAAACAGAUUGUCAAGUGAAAUAUAUGGUUGCUUAAAAAAAACAACCAGAUGUGGGUAUAAAUUUUUGGA